RNAcentral lists this ribosomal RNA (498 nucleotides) under uncultured bacterium. RNAcentral describes it as "partial 16S ribosomal RNA". It matches the Rfam family "Bacterial small subunit ribosomal RNA", at positions 28 to 523 of the family's 1533-position model. The record is from RNAcentral.
GAUGAACGCUAGCGGCAGGCCUAAUACAUGCAAGUCGAACGAUAGAAGAGAGCUUGCUCUCUUUGAAAGUGGCGCACGGGUGCGUAACGCGUAUGCAACCUACCUUAAUCAGGGGGAUAGCCCGAAGAAAUUCGGAUUAACACCGCAUAAAACCACAGUACAGCAUUGUACAAUGAUCAAAUAUUUAUAGGAUUAAGAUGGGCAUGCGUGACAUUAGCUAGUUGGCGGGGUAACGGCCCACCAAGGCGACGAUGUCUAGGGGAUCUGAGAGGAUGACCCCCCACACUGGUACUGAGACACGGCCCAGACUCCUACGGGAGGCAGCAGUAAGGAAUAUUGGUCAAUGGAGGGAACUCUGAACCAGCCAUGCCGCGUGCAGGAAGACAGCCCUCUGGGUCGUAAACUGCUUUUAUUCGGGAAUAAACCUACUUACGUGUAAGUAGCUGAAUAUACCGAAGGAAUAAGGAUCGGCUAACUCCGUGCCAGCCGCCGCCGUAA